CCUACGGGAGGCUGCAGUGGGGAAUAUUGGACAAUGGGGGGAACCCUGAUCCAGCCAUGCCGCGUGUGUGAAGAAGGCCCUCGGGUUGUAAAGCACUUUCAGUGAGGAAGAACGCCUGGUGGUUAAUACCCAUCAGGAAAGACAUCACUCACAGAAGAAGCACCGGCUAACUCCGUGCCAGCAGCCGCGGUAAUACGGAGGGUGCGAGCGUUAAUCGGAAUUACUGGGCGUAAAGCGCGCGUAGGUGGCUUGAUAAGCCGGUUGUGAAAGCCCCGGGCUCAACCUGGGAACGGCAUCCGGAACUGUCAAGCUAGAGUGCAGGAGAGGAAGGUAGAAUCCCCGGUGUAGCGGUGAAAUGCGUAGAGAUCGGGAGGAAUACCAGUGGCGAAGGCGGCCUUCUGGACUGACACUGACACUGAGGUGCGAAAGCGUGGGUAGCAAACAGGAUUAGAUACCCUAGUAGUC
RNAcentral lists this ribosomal RNA (465 nucleotides) under Vreelandella stevensii. Its description in RNAcentral is "partial 16S ribosomal RNA". It matches the Rfam family "Bacterial small subunit ribosomal RNA", at positions 338 to 795 of the family's 1533-position model. The record is from RNAcentral. Lineage: Bacteria; Pseudomonadati; Pseudomonadota; Gammaproteobacteria; Oceanospirillales; Halomonadaceae.